Molecule: long non-coding RNA, 937 nt
Organism: Acipenser ruthenus (sterlet)
Lineage: Eukaryota; Metazoa; Chordata; Actinopteri; Acipenseriformes; Acipenseridae
Exons: 3
Source: RefSeq, a predicted model, not a curated record
AAAAAAUUAACCAUUUGCUCGCACUUAAAUACAAUUUGGAUCUAAUAUCAGUAAAAAAAAAAAAAAAAGAAACGUGUAAACGUUCGUUCCCCAGACUUUAACAGAAACAUACAUCCAAACAUCCAAACAAGAGACCUGGCAACCAUCAGUCCAGCAGGUACCCCCAUUCAUGACCGACGUCCCGGAAGAGCAAACAGGCACCAGCCAAGGGAUGGACAGCCAGGUCCGUGUACACACCUGAGACUCGAGGUCCUACUCUACCUAGGUUAAGUACCAGUGGCCGGGUCGGAAGAACAAACCAGAGUAGGGAGGGCCGAGAUCGGAGUGUACGUGGUGAAUGACCAGGGACAGAGAGAGUGUGGAGAUCUAGUGCUGUUUGUUCUUCCAUCGCAGGAUAAUAAUCUUGCAUCGUUGUGCUAGGAGAGGGGGUGACUGAGCCUUAAGGGAGCUAUAUACAAGCCAUACACCGGGACAAACCAAUAGAUUAGGAGCCUCUUGGAUCGGUCACUUUCAACUUUACUUUUCCUUGUUGGCAUUUCUUCCGGGACAGUGUUUGGCAACUUGGAUUAAGUACAGGACCUGCAAACUGAGUUUUCUAGACCUUUUGAGGCCCAGGUGAAUGUACUGGAACUAUCAUUUCACCAAACUGCUGCUUACAUUGUUCGGGACUGUGUUGUGAUAAUAUAUUGUGUGAAGUUGAAUAAUUGUAAUACUAAUAGCCCCCUGAAGUCACAAGUAGCCUGUUAAAAUAGUUUGUGGAAUGUUUUAGUGGUUUUACUUAGUGCACAGUUUUAGGUGUUUAUUUUUUUUAGAAUAGGUUUUGUAUGGAGAUAAUGUGCAAGGCAGUUGAAAGGGGGGAGUUUGCAAACUGUCUGAUAAAAUAAGUUGUAUUUGAUUGUCUAAAUUUCCUGUAAUAAAUAAAUCAUUAUUUUACUUA